RNAcentral lists this transfer RNA (76 nucleotides) under Brucella vulpis. RNAcentral describes it as "tRNA-Arg". It matches the Rfam family "tRNA". Rfam says of the family: Transfer RNA (tRNA) molecules are approximately 80 nucleotides in length. Their secondary structure includes four short double-helical elements and three loops (D, anti-codon, and T loops). Further hydrogen bonds mediate the characteristic L-shaped molecular structure. tRNAs have two regions of fundamental functional importance: the anti-codon, which is responsible for specific mRNA codon recognition, and the 3' end, to which the tRNAs corresponding amino acid is attached (by aminoacyl-tRNA synthetases). tRNAs cope with the degeneracy of the genetic code in two manners: having more than one tRNA (with a specific anti-codon) for a particular amino acid; and 'wobble' base-pairing, i.e. permitting non-standard base-pairing at the 3rd anti-codon position. Lineage: Bacteria; Pseudomonadati; Pseudomonadota; Alphaproteobacteria; Hyphomicrobiales; Brucellaceae. The record is from RNAcentral.
CAUCCGUAGCUCAGCUGGAUAGAGCACCAGACUACGAAUCUGGGGGUCAGAGGUUCGAAUCCUUUCGGGUGCGCCA